This 1157-nucleotide small RNA is filed under the name Human betaherpesvirus 5. Its description in RNAcentral is "RNA5.0". The record is from RNAcentral. Lineage: Duplodnaviria; Heunggongvirae; Peploviricota; Herviviricetes; Herpesvirales; Orthoherpesviridae.
GCCCGCCUAGCAACACCCACAAACAACGUCACGACGCAACGUGGUUAAACAGUACGUUUAUUAAAGUAACUGGGUGAACGACAUCGGAGCGGACUGCAAAUCGCAACGCUACUUUCUCGAGUGCAGAUACUCUUCGAGACGGCUAAACAACGUGUCCAACUCGCUGAGACCUUUCCGCGUGCCGUUAUCCGAUUUCCUUUCCGCCUCCUGAGACAGCCGACUAAUCACGGACUUAUCUCCGCAACCUAACAGAGGCUGGGAGCCCGACAAAAGUAAAACAGCGUGCUAUGAACACGUUGUUACCUCUGCGCGGACAGCGCCGCCACAGAGACACUUACGCAUUGCCGCAUGUCUUUGUAGAUGGAUUCUAGCGUCGAGCGCAUACUAUGCAAUUCCGUCUUAAGUCCAGGAUAGACGUGGUCGCCUGCGGGGAACACGAUCUCCAGAUACCGCCUCAACAACCAGUCCAUGACGCUGCAUCCCCAACAGCCUUUGACCACCGUACCGUCGAGCCACACGGAGUAGUCGUCCUCACGUUGCUACAAGAGGAAAACUACGUCACCCGACACGCGGAAAAGAAAGACCGUCGCAAUAAACCGUACCUACGUGACCUACCAACGUAGGUUUUACUCGAUGAAAGGUGACGCGGAGAUCUUGCAAUCUGGUCGCGUAAUCCUCCGGACGACACUGCGGCUUUGUAUUCUUUAUCAUCGUCGUCGUCGUCGUCGUCGCCGCCGGCUUCGCCUCCUCGGAAGCGCCUAGAAAAAAGACGAUCAGGACCAGAGAGGAAGAGACCAUCACCGACAGCAUCGCCGCAGCAUGCCGCCCCAAUCCGCCGCCCAACUUUCUCUUGUAGAUACCACUCGUAGACUGUCAGCCUCGCGAGGAGACACCGCGGACCGGGGAAACGGAUAAGUUUACGAACAGAAAUCUCAAGAGAAAGACGCUGACCCGGCAAGUACCGUCACGGAGACACGGUGGUUUUUAUUGAAUUUCCAGUGUAUCGAGCCACCGUGAUGCAGGUACGGUGGUUUUAUGUGAAGUGCCGCUAUCUAUAGGCGAUGUGUUCCCUGACGGUGUGUGUUUUUUGGGGAUAGACAACGUGGUUCUUGUACGUGGUUUUUACCCUGCUCAAUAAAGUCACGUUUUCCUUACAC